This 1273-nucleotide ribosomal RNA is filed under the name metagenome. Its description in RNAcentral is "bacterial LSU rRNA". It matches the Rfam family "Bacterial large subunit ribosomal RNA", at positions 1638 to 2925 of the family's 2925-position model. The record is from RNAcentral.
AUGCCUGUACCAUAACCGACACAGGUGGGUAGGUAGAGUAUACUAAGGGGCGCGAGAUAACUCUCUCUAAGGAACUCGGCAAAAUGACUCCGUAACUUCGGGAGAAGGAGUGCCUUAUUUAUAAGGUUGCAAUAACAAGAUCCAAGCAACUGUUUAUCAAAAACACAGGUCUCCGCUAAGUCGUAAGACGAUGUAUGGGGGCUGACGCCUGCCCAGUGCCAGAAGGUUAAAGAAGUUGGUUAGUGUAUGCGAAGCUGAUGACUGAAGCCCUGGUGAACGGCGGCCGUAACUAUAACGGUCCUAAGGUAGCGAAAUUCCUUGUCGGGUAAGUUCCGACCCGCACGAAAGGCGUAAUGAUUUGGAUACUGUCUCGGAGAGAGGCUCGGUGAAAUAGACUUGUCUGUGAAGAUGCGGACUACCUGCACCAGGACAGAAAGACCCUAUGAAGCUUUACUGUAACUUGAAAUUGGAAUUGGACUUUGCUUGCGCAGUAUAGGUGGGAAGCGUUGAAGAUAUUCUUGCGGGAGUAUUGGAGCUAUCAGUGAGAUACCACUCUUGUAAUGUUAGAUUUCUAACUUUGAACCAUAAUCUGGUCAAAGAACAGUUUCAGGUGGGCAGUUUGACUGGGGCGGUCGCCUCCCAAAUGGUAACGGAGGCGUACAAAGGUUUCCUCUGAACGGAUAGAAAUCGUAUCUAGAGUGUAAAGGCAUAAGGAAGCUUGACUGUGAGACCUACAAGUCGAGCAGGGACGAAAGUCGGUCUUAGUGAUCUGACGGUACUGAGUGGAAAGGCCGUCACUCAACGGAUAAAAGUUACUCUAAGGAUAACAGGCUGAUCUCCCCCAAGAGUUCACAUCGACGGGGAGGUUUGGCACCUCGAUGUCGGCUCAUCGCAUCCUGGGGCGGUAGUACGUCCCAAGGGUUGGGCUGUUCGCCCAUGAAAGCGGUACGCGAGCUGGGUUCAGAACGUCGUGAGACAGUUCGGUCCAUAUCCGGUGUAGGCGCUAGAAUAUUGAGAGGAGCCUUCUUUAGUACGAGAGGACCGAGAAGGACACACCGCUGGUGUACCAGUUAUCGUGCCAACGGUAAACGCUGGGUAGCUAUGUGUGGAGUGGAUAACCGCUGAAAGCAUCUAAGUGGGAAGCCCACCUCAAGAUGAGUAUUCCCACAGGGUUAACCUGGUUAGGUCACGGGAAGACUACCCGUUGAUAGGCUCUAGAUGGAAGUGCAGUAAUGUAUGAAGUCGAGGAGUACUAAUAGACCGAGGGCUUGAC